Non-coding RNA from Camellia sinensis, 91 nucleotides. Lineage: Eukaryota; Viridiplantae; Streptophyta; Magnoliopsida; Ericales; Theaceae. The record is from RefSeq and is a predicted model, not a curated record.
GCCAAUGAUGAUAAAUCGUAAAUUGACCGAAAUGCAAGUUUUUAAUAUCUGUCGUGGUGUUGAAAUUCUUGAACUAGGAUGAUUUGAGAGC